UUGAUGCAGAAUUACAUACAGAUAAG
Molecule: non-coding RNA, 26 nt
Filed under: Rattus norvegicus (Norway rat)
Lineage: Eukaryota; Metazoa; Chordata; Mammalia; Rodentia; Muridae
Source: RNAcentral